GCCUGGGUGGCUCAGUCAGUUAAGCAUCUGACUUCGGUUCAGGUCAUGAUCUCACAGUUUGUGAGUUGGAGUCCCACAUCAGGCU
Molecule: transfer RNA, 85 nt
Filed under: Felis catus (domestic cat)
Lineage: Eukaryota; Metazoa; Chordata; Mammalia; Carnivora; Felidae
Rfam family: tRNA
About the family: Transfer RNA (tRNA) molecules are approximately 80 nucleotides in length. Their secondary structure includes four short double-helical elements and three loops (D, anti-codon, and T loops).
Source: Rfam by way of RNAcentral